This is a long non-coding RNA of Dermochelys coriacea (leatherback sea turtle), 192 nucleotides long. RefSeq lists it as uncharacterized. The record is from RefSeq and is a predicted model, not a curated record. The transcript has 3 exons. Lineage: Eukaryota; Metazoa; Chordata; Testudines; Dermochelyidae.
AUAGUAUCCUUCAGAAGAAUCAACUUCAAGGAUUCAAUGGACUAUAAAAGAAAGAGACAGAGAACCCCAGGUUAUCUCUUUCAACUAAGAAGACAAAGGCACCAGCACUUUUGGGCCUCUGGAAGAGAUCCUGACCAAGAAAAGGGUCAGUCACUAUCUUUCAGAAGACUGUGAAAACCUCAAACAUGGCAA